UGGUGGGAACUCACGGGGGACCGCCGGGGUCAACUCGGAGGAAGGUGGGGAUGACGUCAGAUCAUCAUGCCCCUUACGUCCAGGGCUUCACGCAUGCUACAAUGGCCGGUACAACGGGAUGCGACACGGCGACGUGGAGCGGAUCCCUGAAAACCGGUCUCAGUUCGGAUUGGAGUCUGCAACCCGACUCCAUGAAGGCGGAGUCGCUAGUAAUCGCGGAUCAGCAACGCCGCGGUGAAUGCGUUCCCGGGCCUUGUACACACCGCCCGUCAAGUCAUGAAAGUGGGUAGCACCCGAAGCCGGUGGCCUAACCCUUUGUGGAUGGAGCCGUCUAAGGUGAGACUCGUGAUUGGGACUAAGUCGUAACAAGGUAGCCGUACCGGAAGGUGCGGCUGGAUCACCUCCUUU
RNAcentral lists this ribosomal RNA (408 nucleotides) under Bifidobacterium pseudocatenulatum. RNAcentral describes it as "bacterial SSU rRNA". It matches the Rfam family "Bacterial small subunit ribosomal RNA", at positions 1129 to 1533 of the family's 1533-position model. The record is from RNAcentral. Lineage: Bacteria; Bacillati; Actinomycetota; Actinomycetes; Bifidobacteriales; Bifidobacteriaceae.